This 437-nucleotide ribosomal RNA is filed under the name uncultured bacterium. RNAcentral describes it as "bacterial SSU rRNA". It matches the Rfam family "Bacterial small subunit ribosomal RNA", at positions 340 to 772 of the family's 1533-position model. The record is from RNAcentral.
UACGGAAGGCAGCAGUGGGGAAUAUUGCACAAUGGGCGCAAGCCUGAUGCAGCCAUGCCGCGUGUAUGAAGAAGGCCUUCGGGUUGUAAAGUACUUUCAGUCGUGAGGAAGGUGUUAAGGUUAAUAACCUUAGCAAUUGACGUUAGCGACAGAAGAAGCACCGGCUAACUCCGUGCCAGCAGCCGCGGUAAUACGGAGGGUGCGAGCGUUAAUCGGAAUUACUGGGCGUAAAGGGCACGCAGGCGGUUAAUUAAGUUGGAUGUGAAAUCCCCGGGCUUAACCUGGGAAUGGCAUUCAAGACUGGUUAGCUAGAGUCUUGUAGAGGGGGUAGAAUUCCAUGUGUAGCGGUGAAAUGCGUAGAGAUGUGGAGGAAUACCGGUGGCGAAGGCGGCCCCUGGACAAAGGCUGACGCUCAUGUGCGAAGCGUGGGGAGCAAA